AAUAGUGCAGUUUAAUUUUUACGGAUACAGUUAAUUUUAUAAAAAAAUUAUUAUAUGGAAAUUAUUAGGUGAAAUUUUUAAUUUUUUUAAAAUUUGUUAUUAAUGAGGCUGUGAAAUUUUAAAUUUAAACUAGGAUUAGAUACCCUAUUAUUUAAAAUGUGAAAGUUUUUCCAGAUAAUUAUUAGUUAUGGUCUUUAAAAUCAAAGAUUUUGGCGGUAUUUUAGUCUAUUCAGAGGAACCUGUCCAGUAAUUGAUAGUCCACGAUUAGAAUUACUUAUUCUAAAUGUUUUCAUAUCGUCGUAAUUUGAAAAUUUUACUAGAAUUUAAAUUUUCAAGAUUUUUAUUAGAAAAUAUAUCAGAUCAAGAUGUAGCUUAUGAAUAAGUUGAGAUGGGUUACUAAAAGUUUAUUUUUGAAUUAUAAUUUUAAAUUUUAUAUGAAAUUGGAUUUGAAUGUAAUUUUAACUAUAUAGUUAAAAUGAUUUAAGCUCUAAAAUAUGCACAUAUCGCCCGUCACUUUCACUUUAAAGUGAAAUAAGUCGUAACAAAGUAGGCCUACUGGAAAGUGGGCCUGGAAAGGCGAGUUAGAGCUUGUUAUAAAGCAUCUUAUUUACAUUAAGAAGUUAACUGUGAAAUUCAGUUUAACUUGAAUUUAAUAAGUUAUUGAUUAUUUAUAUUUUAUUUUUUAUAAAUUAAGUAAAUUUGUGUUUUAUUAUUAUAAUCGAAAUAAUUUUUUUUAUGAUAGUUUAUUAGUACUGUGAAGGAACUUUAUUUAAUUUAAGAAAGAAGAUUUUUUAUUGU
This 798-nucleotide ribosomal RNA is filed under the name Xystrocera globosa. Its description in RNAcentral is "partial 12S ribosomal RNA". The record is from RNAcentral. Lineage: Eukaryota; Metazoa; Arthropoda; Insecta; Coleoptera; Cerambycidae.